Molecule: long non-coding RNA, 657 nt
Organism: Canis lupus familiaris (dog)
Lineage: Eukaryota; Metazoa; Chordata; Mammalia; Carnivora; Canidae
Exons: 3
Source: RefSeq, a predicted model, not a curated record
AGGUAGCGGCCGACGCCGUCCCGGGCGGGGCCCCCCGGCAGGUGCCUCGCCCCCCGCCCGCGCUCACCUGCUCCCGGGUCUUCAGGUACCGCUGCAGCGCCUGCUGCGUGAGCUCCCGGACGCGCAGCUGGCCCUCCUUGCAGGGCACCACGAUGCCCGUCCUGCCGAAGCACACAGUCACCUUCAUGCUGGGACAGGUCACAUCCCAGACCCAGAAAUGAUGCAUAUGCUUCCAUGUAUCCUUCUGAAAUGGGCCUCCUGUUGUGCAUCUGGCUACAAAGACCAUUUUAAACACGCUGAGGCUCAGCUCGCGUAACAACGAGCUCCUUUGAGCCUGACAACGACCCUGGGAGGUAAAUGUGUUUCCCAUUUUGUGCAUGAAGAAUGUGCUAAGGGAGGUUAAGGAACUGAGCUAACCAGGAAGUUAGUUACCCUAAGAGAAUCUCCCUUCUUCCCAUGCUGAAUCUCUGGUCUCCCCAAGCUGGUUUUCUAGCAAUCUACUUCGUCCAACAAGAUCCUCAGGGCCACACCAUGUGUUUCUCUAUAAAAGAAUUUGUUCCUGGGGCGCCUGGGUGGUGCAGCCUCUUAAGCACCUGACUCUCGGUUUCUGCUCAGGUCAUGAAUCUCAGGGUCCUGGGAUCCAACCCCAUGUUGGGC